Molecule: ribosomal RNA, 258 nt
Filed under: uncultured bacterium
Lineage: Bacteria
Description: partial 16S ribosomal RNA
Rfam family: Bacterial small subunit ribosomal RNA
Source: RNAcentral
UACGAAGGGGGGCUAGCGUUGCUCGGAAUCACUGGGCGUAAAGCGCACGUAGGCGGAUCUUUUAAGUCAGGGGUGAAAUCCCAAGGCUCAACCUUGGAACUGCCUUUUGAUACUGGGGAUCUCGAGUCCGGAAGAGGUUGGUGGAACUGCGAGUGUAGAGGUGAAAUUCGUAGAUAUUCGCAAGAACACCAGUGGCGAAGGCGGCCAACUGGUCCGGAACUGACGCUGAGGUGCGAAAAGCGUGGGGGAGCAAACAGG